Molecule: ribosomal RNA, 454 nt
Filed under: uncultured bacterium
Lineage: Bacteria
Description: partial 16S ribosomal RNA
Rfam family: Bacterial small subunit ribosomal RNA
Source: RNAcentral
GAUGAACGCUGACAGAAUGCUUAACACAUGCAAGUCAACUUGAACUUCGGUUUGGGUGGCGGACGGGUGAGUAACGCGUAAAGAACUUGCCUCACAGCUAGGGACAACAUUUGGAAACGAAUGCUAAUACCUGAUAUUAUGAUUUUAGGGCAUCCUAGAAUUAUGAAGGCUAUAUGCGCUGUGAGAGAGCUUUGCGUCCCAUUAGCUAGUUGGAGAGGUAACGGCUCACCAAGGCGAUGAUGGGUAGCCGGCCUGAGAGGGUGAACGGCCACAAGGGGACUGAGACACGGCCCUUACUCCUACGGGAGGCAGCAGUGGGGAAUAUUGGACAAUGGACCAAGAGUCUGAUCCAGCAAUUCUGUGUGCACGAUGAAGUUUUUCGGAAUGUAAAGUGCUUUCAGUUGGGAAGAAAAAAAUGACGGUACCAACAGAAGAAGUGACGGCUAAAUACGUG